ACAAGCGGUGGAGCAUGUGGUUUAAUUGACGCAACGCGCAGAACCUUACCUGGGCUUGACAUCCCGAUCGCAUCCCAUGGAACAUGGGAGUUACUUCGGUACAUCGGUGACAGGUGGUGCAUGGUUGUCGUCAGCUCGUGUCGUGAGAUGUUGGGUUAAGUCCCGCAACGAGCGCAACCCCUAUUGUUAGUUGCCAUCAUUCAGUUGGGCACUCUAGCGAGACUGCCGGUAAUAAACCGGAGGAAGUGGGGAUGACGUCAAAUCAUCAUGCCCCUUAUGACCUGGGCUACACACGUGCUACAAUGGUUGGUACAACGAGUUGCGAGUCGGUGACGGCGAGCUAAUCUCUUAAAGCCAAUCUCAGUUCGGAUUGUAGGCUGCAACUCGCCUACAUGAAGUCGGAAUCGCUAGUAAUCGCGGAUCAGCACGCCGCGGUGAAUACGUUCCCGGGCCUU
RNAcentral lists this ribosomal RNA (455 nucleotides) under uncultured Streptococcus sp. RNAcentral's name for it is "bacterial SSU rRNA". It matches the Rfam family "Bacterial small subunit ribosomal RNA", at positions 925 to 1382 of the family's 1533-position model. Lineage: Bacteria; Bacillati; Bacillota; Bacilli; Lactobacillales; Streptococcaceae. The record is from RNAcentral.